Harpegnathos saltator (Jerdon's jumping ant) is the source of this 3823-nucleotide RNA transcript. It is a transcript of the gene named integrator complex subunit 5 omd, with no coding region annotated. Lineage: Eukaryota; Metazoa; Arthropoda; Insecta; Hymenoptera; Formicidae. The record is from RefSeq and is a predicted model, not a curated record. The transcript has 12 exons.
GCGGAAGCGAUGAAAGUGCAGGCAACGAGAGGCACCUGUACCCAUGUACAUAACCUCUUAAUCAACAAGAGCCACUAUACAAAUCGGCGUCGUGAGAUGCGAUGCAUUUAUACGGUAUUUAUUAGAAGUGCAAGUGCGAUCGAACAAUGUCUCACAACUAAUACGGUAUUUUUGAUGAUUCGCUCAGAAUGAUGCACAAUACAGCAACUUUAUCGCCCCAAGAUAUCUUGGCCGAGGUUAGGAAAUUUAUUUCCGGAACCGUUAGGCCUUCUCAUAAUACAAAUACGCAAGAUAUGACACGUACAGCGUUAUUUCUGUUGAAAAAUGUACCAGCCACAAGAGCUGCCGUGCUCGAAUAUUUUUGUAACGUAUUCUUUAUCGCAGUGACAAAAUAUGUUCGUCAGAUCGAGACAAAUCAAGCUAUAACAAUACCAGAAGAAAGUAUUAUAGCAGAGAUUCAUUCUGUUCUGAGCGGUUUUAUCAAUGGAAAUCCAGAAGCAUGGGCACCUAUCAUAUCCGCAUGGUCGUUGGAACUGCUUGGGAAACUGUCAUCAGAUUAUUCAAAACGUGGUAAUUUGCCAGCAAAAGCUGGCAUUAAUGAUUUUCUGCAGCAAUGGAUGUCAUGCCGUGCAACACGAACUCUUAUAGAUAUCACGUCUCAAUGUUUGCAGUGUCUUAUACAUUUUGACACAGAGUCUUGCAUCAAGGCUUUGUUAGAUACCAGUGUGUUACAUAGCCCAUACUUUGAUUGGGUUGUUGCUCAUGUGGGAAGUUGUUUUCCAAAUACUGUGAUUACUAGGGUAUUGUCAUGUGGUUUAAAGGAUUUUUGUGCUGGUGGUUAUGAACAUAAUAUCAAGAAUUCAAAGUUGAAUUCUGUUGUUGGCAUAUUAGGACAUUUAGCAGGCAGUCACUCUCAAGAUAUCAGAAGCGCAUUGUUGAAUUUAUUUGAGUGGAGUUUGGUUGAAGAUGUAAAUCUUGAUGAUGAUACCAGGAAGCAGAAACUGGCCACAGUGCCAUUCCUUUUGAAUCUAGCUUCACUGUCACAAACUCUCUUAAAAGCUCUCACCAGUGAUGUGUUACAAACGUUAAAACCAGACAUCAUACCGCGUCUCGCGUUGUUUGCAGCAGAUUGGUGUAGAUACUUCGAGAACCAGCCGGAAGCGCUGAUAGACUUGACGGUACAUUUAGCAUUGGGAUGCGAACAAGGCGCGUUGCAGAUAAUAAAUAUGCUGUUAGACACUAGCUUAAACACGAGCAACGUCGGCUACCACAGCGUCAAUGCCGCGCAAAAUGUAAAGAACAUUUGUCGGGAAAUAUUAGAGUUGAUGCUGCAAGAGAUCGAUCUUACGUUGAGAUCACACGGCCCUCAGACUGCCAAUGUUGCUCUGUUGAAUUCCAUCAAGCAAGAUAUAUCGUUGUUAACGCCAAUGUUGUUGAAUUCCAACCCAUUACGCGUACAAACCGCUGUUAGACUAUUAUGUUUUCUCAAAAGCCAAAACCAAAAUAUAGUAAUUUCUAUGGCGGCUUAUAUGCUGGUGAAGGCGCAAACGACGUUUCAUCUUGCCGCUUUGUUGCGUCUUAUUACCGGCAACAUCGUUUUGUUCCCCGUGAAUAAAUCCGGGUCCGAAAAUAUCCUUGCUAGUAGUGAUCACUUCACGCUGGUUCUGGAGCAAGCACUCAGAGAGAUAUAUUAUAAAAACGUUAUAGAUAAGGAGGAAUUGAGACAGUUAUUCCAAAAUCUUAUCAUACUAUUGAAAUGGGAAAAGUCGGAUAAAGCAGUGAUAUUGCAGUCAAAGAUGAUCACCAGGGCGCUCAGAUCGAAUUUACACCAAAUAUCUUGUUUGUUAUCAAAGGCUACUGACUUUGAUUUGGCGACCGACAUCGCUGUUCUGCUCGAUCUGCUAAGCACACCUGAAAAGGAUCAUACUCUCAAUGUGGAGCUUAUGCUGAGACUAACGAGAGCGUUCAUUCAUUAUUUCUACUUGUGCAUCGAACAAACCGAUAUUAUCAAGAAACAGCAAGGAGUAAAAAUAGUGUGUCAUUUGUUGAAGGAUCUGACUUGUUAUUCUCCGUGCGCGCGCGUGUUGGCACUUAGAGAGAUAUUAGGAAACAGUAUUAAUAAUGAGCAGGCCAAGUGUUUUGGGGCGAAAGAGAAAUUUGAGCCCCAUUUUGAGGAAAUGUUACUGUUACAUCAGAACCAUAAACAGGUGACAAGCACCAUGUUGGCACAGCGACAUUCGUCAGUGUUUCACGCCGGUGUGAUAGGACACGGCCCACGGAGACCAUCGCCUGAAAACGCUAUCGAAAAGGAGAUUAUUGCUUCGAAUAAAAUGUUACUGAUAGACGUUAUAAAGGCAUGUUGCAGUAAUCAGGAGUCGGACCGAUAUCCUGUCAACUUGGACGCUCUGAUGAUGGUCAGUUUGUUGUUGGUCGAAUUGGUAUCACCUGACGUUAUGUACAAUGGUCUUCCAUGGCCUGAUGAGGAAUUCACCAAGGUGACGAUCGAGAGAGAUCUGCAAAUCCGUCGCAAGUUCAAGGACGUACCUCUCCUAUGGACGUUGCUAGAACUGACCGCCUGGUAUAGACCAGCGUUGGCAUACAGCUCGGUCUUGUUGAGAGGAAUCGCUGCGACUGUCAUGGCCAACUGGAACACGGAAGAGGGUGUUUCGCUCGUUAAUACAAUGGCACUGGGUCAAUUAUUACCGCCGCCAUUAGCGAGUAUCCGAGAUAUCUUGCCUGUGUUGGAGCCGCAUCAGAUAAAUACGGUGAUGAAGGAAUGUGUAUGGGCGUACAUGCGCGAACAUGUACCUUCCCCAGCUUUGUUCACUCGGACUGAUGGCUCUAACAUAGCUUGGAGAGACACUGACACGUCAACACCCAAUACGCGCUUUACGGAUACUCUUCGUUUGGUGCUGCUAGCAAAUAUUCACACUUUAGGAUCUUUGUACUCGACGUUAUUUUAUAAUGAGAACAAGUAACGAGUGUGUGUGAACAGACGUCGCAUUUCAGACGGGAUUUAUAUUGAUUUCGAUUUGUAUAUAGUAUUGAUAAGACGUUACCCGAAUCGCGUCUCGCAUCAUUUCAUGUUGAACACCAUUAACAGUAAGUACAUUUGGACACUCAAUGUUUUUCUAAUACAUUGAUAUUCUAUAACAAUACUUAUAUUUCGCGUAACUUUUUCUCCUCUUUUAUAACAAUCCUACUAUAAAGUAGAAAAUGACAAUCACACUAUAUAAAAUAGGAAGUAAUCUUUACUAGUUUCUUAUAUGUGUGUGUAUACAAUUAUUUUUUAGAUAUAUAACGUAUUACACAUAACGCAUGGAUGUUUUCCUUCUUUUCUUCUUUGCGAUGCAAUCUUUUCUAUUGUACGAUUCCCCGUUUCUUCAUACUUAUCCGUUAAUAUGAGCCGUUAUCUGCUCAUGUGUGGAAAUAGAAAUCCGAUCUAUAACCGAUCCCUUAAAUACAAAUACUCGGAAAAGGACCGUAACGCAUAGCGCGUAACAAAAUAUCAACGAAGUCUACGGGGAGGGAUAAAACAAGGUAGACAAAAAAAAAGUAUAUUUUAAUUUUUAUAAAAGCACAUUCUCUCCUAAAUACAUAUAUAAGAAACAUAUUAAUUUACUUUGUUAUCAUUAUAUCAAUACAGGAAUGACGGUGCCUAAGAUGAACGAACGCUGUUCGAAUUGCUGCACGAAUUACCCUAGGUGGGUGUCUCGUCCUGACAAAUGACUAUGCCAUCGUACGCAACGAUUUAAUUCAUACAAACAUCGCGAUCUUGUUCGCGCGUCGUUGAGUCUUCACGUGGCUCUGUGUUUCAUACAGA